UAUAUAUAUAUAUAUAUAUAUAUAAGUAUUAACACAUUUUCCAACAACUUAUGAAAUUGAUUCUAACAUUCACAUCUGGUUUCAAUGUGCAACAAAUAUCGGUGAAACAAACUUACUUAAUUGUUUGUUUUAGGAUUUGGAAAAUAAUCCAACCAAUAAAUUAGUGAUGUCAUAAUUUUAACAGCAUGGUGAGAAUAAUAACAUGAUAAAAUUCAGAACCAUUUAUUGGCCCGGUAUGUCAGACAUACGUAUGUUAGUGAUACCGGUGAUUCACACAUUAGUCAAAAAGACAAAUUUACACGGUGCGAGAAAUAUGGAUAUGAAAUAUGAAUAUACUCAAUUUAUUUAUAUAAAUGUACAAUUCAAUUGACAGAAGAAUAAUAUAAAAUUAAAAUAAAGUGCAUAGGUACACCACACACGUGUCCUGUGAGUAUGUGUGAAAGUGACGAGUGAAUUUGAAUACGAACGAUGAGGGCCGGUGCAGGGGGGCGACCGGUAGUCAGUCAGUGGGGGUCCGGCUCUGUCCAUGAGGUCUUGGUCCUGAUGGACCUCAGCCUCCUGCCAGAUGGAAGGGGCACAAACAGGUUCUGUCCGGGGUGAGAGGGGUCGGCCAACUUCUUUCUAGCUCGUUUAAAUUAAUACAAUUUGAAGAGAAAAAAUCUGAAAUGUCAAAGUCGGAUCAUAAUCUGUUGAAGAGGCCGAUCUGGGACCUGCCGCUCAAAUGUUGUGUUGUUUACUCUGUAGCUGCCGUGACGGCCGUAUAGUCUCCCCCCCCCCCACCCGUCCCCCACCCGUCGGCCGUAGCGUCUAAACCAUGGUCACGCCCUUGCCUGCAGGUGGAGGAGGUGGAGGUCGUAGGCACCUUUGCACCAGGGCCUUCUGUUCAAAGCCUCCAUGUGGGUGGUGGUGUGAUGGUGCUUCUCCUUCCUGAGACUCCCAUGGUUUCUACACUAUUAAACCUUGAUACACACUUUGAUGUUACUGACAACACGUUGUAUUGUUAACAAGUUGCCGAUUAUCUAAUAAAUGAUGAAAUGUUUUUGGUUGCUAAGUUUGUGAGAACUGUCCCUUAUAUCUUAAUGAUUGUAUUAUAUCGUCACCUUUCCUAUUUUUGGUGUUCGGUAAAGAAUUAUUAGUCUCUUCCCUUUCUCUUUCCAUUGUUGGCUGUGUGACUAAUUUACUGUAUUUGUUGGACUCAACAGAAUAAACAGAAUAAG
Gasterosteus aculeatus aculeatus (three-spined stickleback) is the source of this 1217-nucleotide long non-coding RNA. The record is from Ensembl. Lineage: Eukaryota; Metazoa; Chordata; Actinopteri; Perciformes; Gasterosteidae.